UACGUAGGGUGCAGGCGUUAAUCGGAAUUACUGGGCGUAAAGCGUGCGCAGGCGGUUAUGUAAGACAGAUGUGAAAUGCCCGGGCUUAACCUGGGAACUGCAUUUUGUGACUGCAUGGCUAGAGUGUGUCAGAGGGGGGGUAGAAUUCCACGUGUAGCAGUGAAAUGCGUAGAUAUCGUAAGGAAGACCAGUGGCGAAGGCGGGUCUCUGGACAAGUUCCUGACGGCUGAGGCACGAAGGUCAGGGGGAGCAAAACAGG
RNAcentral lists this ribosomal RNA (259 nucleotides) under uncultured bacterium. RNAcentral's name for it is "partial 16S ribosomal RNA". It matches the Rfam family "Bacterial small subunit ribosomal RNA", at positions 524 to 776 of the family's 1533-position model. The record is from RNAcentral.